RNAcentral lists this ribosomal RNA (306 nucleotides) under Triticum aestivum (bread wheat). Its description in RNAcentral is "partial small subunit ribosomal RNA". Lineage: Eukaryota; Viridiplantae; Streptophyta; Magnoliopsida; Poales; Poaceae. The record is from RNAcentral.
AUGGCUCAAGACAAUACUAAAUUGUGUGACUUUUCCAACACCAAUAAUAAUGAUUUUAUUAGUACUCCGAUUGCUCCCGAUGCUAAUGCGGAAUCUUGUGAAAUAAAUAUCGCUUUGCUGAAUCUUGUCAUGAAAGAUCAAUUUUCCGGCCUUCCCAAUGAAGAUGCCGCAUCACAUCUUAAUAAUUUUGUUGAUUUGUGUGAUAUGCAAAAGAAAAAAGAUGUGGAUAAUGAUAUUGUUAAAUUGAAGCUAUUUCCGUUCUUGCUUCGAGAUCGUGCUAAAACUUGGUUUUCAUCUUUGCCUAAA